CGUAAACGAUGAGUGCUAAGUGUAGGGGGUUCCGCCCUUAGUGCUGCAGCUAACGCAUUAAGCACUCCGCUGGGGAGUACGACCGCAAGGUUGAAACUCAAAGGAAUUGACGGGGGCCCGCACAAGCGGUGGAGCAUGUGGUUUAAUUCGAAGCAACGCGAAGAACCUUACCAGGUCUUGACAUCCUUUGAUCACUCUAGAGAUAGAGCUUUCCCUUCGGGGACAAAGUGACAGGUGGUGCAUGGUUGUCGUCAGCUCGUGUCGUGAGAUGUUGGGUUAAGUCCCGCAACGAGCGCAACCCUUAUUGUUAGUUGCCAUCAUUCAGUUGGGCACUCUAGCGAAACUGCCGGUGACAAACCGGAGGAAGGUGGGGAUGACGUCAAAUCAUCAUGCCCCUUAUGACCUGGGCUACACACGUGCUACAAUGGACAGUACAAUGAGCAGCGACACGGCGACGUGAAGCGAAUCUCAUAAAGCUGUUCUCAGUUCGGAUUGUAGGCUGCAACUCGCCUACAUGAAGCCGGAAUCGCUAGUAAUCGCGGAUCAGCACGCCGCGGUGAAUACGUUCCCGGGCCUUGUACACACCGCCCGUCACACCACGAAAGUUUGUAACACCCAAAGUCGGUGAGGUAACCUUCGGGGGCCAGCCGCCUAAGGUGGGAUAGAUGAUUGGGGUGAAGUCGUAACAAGGUAACCA
Molecule: ribosomal RNA, 697 nt
Filed under: uncultured Vagococcus sp.
Lineage: Bacteria; Bacillati; Bacillota; Bacilli; Lactobacillales; Enterococcaceae
Description: bacterial SSU rRNA
Rfam family: Bacterial small subunit ribosomal RNA
Source: RNAcentral